Molecule: ribosomal RNA, 726 nt
Filed under: Boletus sp. 8 ZLY-2012
Lineage: Eukaryota; Fungi; Basidiomycota; Agaricomycetes; Boletales; Boletaceae
Description: eukaryotic LSU rRNA
Rfam family: 5.8S ribosomal RNA (bases 226-380)
Source: RNAcentral
UUGAUUUCGACCAGGGAGAGGGGGAGGGAAAAUGGAUCAAGAGGAGUCAAGGCUGUCGCAGUUGCUGAAGUGACGUUGCACGCCUUUCUCUUUCCAUGGACUUUCCUCUCUUUCUAGUUUCCUUAUUCACCUGUGCAUUCUUUGUAGGCCCUCGAAAGAGGAUCUAUGUUUCUAUAUCUACGCUUUUUGCAAUGCAUGUCUAGAAUGUAUACAAACAAACUUUACAACUUUCAGCAAUGGAUCUCUUGGCUCUCGCAUCGAUGAAGAACGCAGCGAAUUGCGAUAAGUAAUGUGAAUUGCAGAUUUUCAGUGAAUCAUCGAAUCUUUGAACGCACCUUGCGCUCCUUGGUAUUCCGAGGAGCAUGCCUGUUUGAGUGUCAUUUGAAUUCUCAACCAUGUCUUUGAUAGCAUGGCUUGGACUUUGGGGGUUGCUGGUGCCAUGUCAGCGUCAACUCUCCUGAAAUGUAUUAGCGAUGGUUAGCAAGCCUGGCAUGCAACGGCCUUUUCGACGUGAUAAUGAUCGUCGUGGGCUGGAGCGGUAUGGUGAGCGGUGAAUCGCUUCCAAUUCCCUGACCCAAGCCUCAGUUACUAGUCGGUCGUGAGGUCGAUGAACACGAGGCCCAAGUCAAUCUUGGACCCCCCCAAGCCCAAGCUCUUUUUAGUUACUAGUCGGUCGUGAGAUCGAUGAAUGCAAACAGGGUCUAGGUUUUGGGACCAUUUGAACUC